RNAcentral lists this transfer RNA (77 nucleotides) under Fidelibacterota bacterium. RNAcentral describes it as "tRNA-Val". It matches the Rfam family "tRNA". From Rfam's summary of the family: Transfer RNA (tRNA) molecules are approximately 80 nucleotides in length. Their secondary structure includes four short double-helical elements and three loops (D, anti-codon, and T loops). Further hydrogen bonds mediate the characteristic L-shaped molecular structure. tRNAs have two regions of fundamental functional importance: the anti-codon, which is responsible for specific mRNA codon recognition, and the 3' end, to which the tRNAs corresponding amino acid is attached (by aminoacyl-tRNA synthetases). tRNAs cope with the degeneracy of the genetic code in two manners: having more than one tRNA (with a specific anti-codon) for a particular amino acid; and 'wobble' base-pairing, i.e. permitting non-standard base-pairing at the 3rd anti-codon position. The record is from RNAcentral. Lineage: Bacteria; Pseudomonadati; Fidelibacterota.
GGGCGAUUAGCUCAGUUGGUUAGAGUGCUUGCUUGACAUGCAAGAGGUCGCUGGUUCAAGUCCAGUAUCGCCCACCA